AGGAUAAAUAUCAGGAAAUAAGAGCAAGCAAAAAACAAAACACGAAUAGAAACUACCCUUAUCCUGAGGGUGCGCCGAGCUCAGGCCGACGUUAACUAGAGCGUCCUCGCUCACAAGGUCGUUUAGCAGAAUGUCCUCCUCGAGGCCGCUAAGGGCAUCGAGGAUCUUCUGCUCGCCCUUGACAGGAUGGGGAGCUUGUUGACGGCCUUGAGCCGGGCCUGCUCCCACUGAGGAUUGAACCCCCAUGUUCGCUCGGAAGACAAAAAGAAAAAUUUCUUUUUCCAUUCGUGGAUGGAUGGAGCCCCCCAGAAAAGCGACCGAGCAUCCCGAAGGGCAAGGUAAAGCCACUCUCCGUCACCUGGGUUGGACUUCGAUAAGAAGUACCACCGAAAAACAUUGACGGAUGUCGGCAUCCCGUGCAAAAGGCACAAGGAUAAAAAACCGACUAUAGUUCUCCACGCGUUCGGAAUGAGUUGCGCCGG
RNAcentral lists this long non-coding RNA (482 nucleotides) under Phoenix dactylifera (date palm). Its description in RNAcentral is "long non-coding RNA (PDAC_LNC022313)". The record is from RNAcentral. Lineage: Eukaryota; Viridiplantae; Streptophyta; Magnoliopsida; Arecales; Arecaceae.